GUCGAACGAGAAGGUGUAGCGAUACACUUGUACAGUGGCGAACGGGUGAGGAAUACAUGGGUAACCUACCCUCGAGUGGGGAAUAACCAGCCGAAAGGUUGGCUAAUACCGCGUACGCUUCCGGGUCUGCGGAUCCGGAAGGAAAGUCGCACCGUGGGUGCGACGCUCAAGGAUGGGCUCAUGCCCUAUCAGCUUGUUGGUGAGGUAACGGCUCACCAAGGCUUCGACGGGUAGCUGGUCUGAGAGGACGAUCAGCCACACUGGCACUGCGACACGGGCCAGACUCCUACGGGAGGCAGCAGUAAGGAAUAUUGCGCAAUGGGCGAAAGCCUGACGCAGCGACGCCGCGUGGGGGAUGAAGGUCUUCGGAUUGUAAACCCCUUUUGGGAGGGAAAAUGGGACGGGCAACCGUCCGGAUGGUACCUCCAGAAAAAGCCACGGCUAACUUCGUGCCAGCAGCCGCGGUAAUACGAAGGUGGCAAGCGUUGUUCGGAUUUACUGGGCGUACAGGGAGCGUAGGCGGUUUGGUAAGCCCUCCGUGAAAUCUUCGGGCUCAACCCGGAAAGUUCAGAGGGGACUGCCAGGCUAGAGGACGGGAGAGGAGCGCGGAAUUCCCGGUGUA
RNAcentral lists this ribosomal RNA (622 nucleotides) under uncultured bacterium. Its description in RNAcentral is "bacterial SSU rRNA". It matches the Rfam family "Bacterial small subunit ribosomal RNA", at positions 61 to 677 of the family's 1533-position model. The record is from RNAcentral.